RNAcentral lists this long non-coding RNA (6185 nucleotides) under Sus scrofa (pig). RNAcentral's name for it is "lncRNA (ENSSSCG00005045114.1)". Lineage: Eukaryota; Metazoa; Chordata; Mammalia; Artiodactyla; Suidae. The record is from RNAcentral.
AUGCAUUUAAUGAUAAUUCAAAUCAAUAAUGGACCCUAGAAAUAAUUUAUUUUAGGUCUCCCAUUUUAUAGAUGAAGAAACCAACAGCCACAGGAUUGGAACAAUUUAGUGGCUAGGUGACUGUGUCAGGAUGAACUUAUCUUGCAUCCAGGCCAGUUGUUCCUCCUCUCCUUCCCUUGGAAAUGUGGUCAUGAGUAUGUUAUUUAAUCACUGCCUGCCCAGGGUAUAUAGGAAAAACAGAAAAAAGGAAAAAUGGAAAUUCUUCAGUUGAAGGUGAUAACUUUGUUUUUUUUGACAUCGCUAGUUUUGCCUGUGGCUGGCCUUAUGAGGGUCUUCAUAAAAUGCCUUGAACACACACACACACACACACACACACACACACAGAUCUGGGAGUCCAGUGAUUUCAUUUCCUGGUAUAAGUAUAUUGCCAAAGAAUUAUUAAAAUUUUAUUACAAGAGAAAGUGCAUGUGACUAAGUAGUGGAAGCAGACUUAGCAAGUUUGAACAGUCAUACACCGUGGGCUUUCCUUCAGCUGUUGAUAAGAAAAGUAGGUCAUCAGUAUAGAAAGCGUGUUUUGAAACACACUCAUUAUUAAUUUUUAAGUGAAAUUGCUGGGCCAGUCGUGUCGUCGGUUUCGUUAACCACUGCGCCACAACGGGAACUCCCCCCUCCUUUUUUUUAAAUUACAACCUUAUUGAGUAUAAUUGACAUACAAAAUUGUAAGAUAACGUGCACAUCAUGGUGAUUUGCUUUAUGUAUUUCCACAUUCAUUUCAUCUCUGGUCAGACUUUGUGGCAGUCACUCAGAGUUGCAUGACCUACUCUUAAGUCAUCAGCGAGUGCCUGUGUUGAUAUCAGUUUGUUUCCCACUUUUCUUUGUAAGAAGUUUGAAAUGAGUACAAAAUUGUAAACUGUAAAAGUAGGAGUUCCUUUCUUAGAAAACUUUAAAAAGAACAAAACUGUUUGUUGUACCUCAUCUUUUAGAAAUCAUUAUUAAUAUGUAGACUCCCAGCUUUUUAUGCGUGUCCUUUCAGGCUCUCCUUGGACAUCUGAACAGAGUCCUCUGGACUUAAGCCUAAGGGUUUUCCUUUUUUUUUUUGCUUUUAGGGCAGCACCCACAGCAUAUGGAGGUUCCCAGGCUAGGGGUCUAAUGGGAACUAUAGGUGCUGGCCUAGGCCACAGCCACAGCAAUGCCAGAUCUGAGCCGCGUCUUCGACCUACACCACAGCUCACGGCAAUGCCAGAUCCUUAACCCACUGAGCAAGGCCAGGGGGCGAACCCGCAACCUCAUGGUUCCUAGUCGGGUUUGUUUCUGCUGCCCCACCACGGGAAUUCCCAAGCCUAAGGGUUUUCAGUCAGAAGCAAAGAUGUGUUUCCUUUGGCAUACCUAAUGUGUUCUCUUGUUGGUCUCAGUAUAUUUGAGUAUUAACAGCCAGUUUCCGUAUUUUAUAAAGUGUGAGUAGAAUGCAGUUUCAUAUUUUAAAACAUGGCACCAACAGGCCAAGUGGAACCCUGGAUGUGAGGUGUCUGGGCAGCACCCCCUUGAAAGAGUUCUGAGAGGCAUCAUUGGCUGACGUGGGAAAGCCAGAUUGUAUGUGUGUGGGGAGUUUGUCAUGGAAAAAGUAAGAAAGUUCAGGGGGUAAAAAGUUGAACUGCCCUAUACUUUGUGGUUCGAGAUCAUCUUGUCUCUCUCCCAAGUCCUUUAUCUAAGGGCGAGUCACACAGUGUCUCUGGGCUGAAAAUGAAGGGCUUGGAACGGAUGACCCUUUCCAUUCCAGGCUUCUGUGAGGACCCAGCUUGGAGGCUUCUUGGUAGAUCUUCCUCAUAUUUCCCUGUCUUUUUGUUCCAAGAAACAUUUAAAAGCCAAAAUGAGACUGGGUUCUUGAAACAAAGCACAUUUAUAGUUGGCUUCCCUCAUUCUUGGCAUUUUACCUAUUACCUGGGUAGAUAGAUAAUGGGAUGAAAGUGUUUGGAAGGCUAUAAAGAGUGUGAAUUUUUACCCUUAUUUUGCUGUUCUUGGGGUCAUAAUAAAUUGAACCAACCUCAAGGCUGUUCCAUACUUGCACUCAGUUGUCUUAGGUGGUCAGCAAUUUUUCUAAAAUUUUUUUAACACCUCAGUGUCAAGCGUAGAAUGCAAACCUUUCAGCCAUAGCUGCUGUGUAUGAGGUCUGUUGUAUAUCUGAAUUUUUGCUUUGCUUUAUAUAAAGCAAAUUGUUGCAUGUAGUCUUUUUCUUCCAUUUUAAAACAACUAUUAAAGUAGGUAAAAUUAGGCAUUUUUUUUCUUCUCGAGUAUCUCACAUAUGAAUCUGUUAAUUAAGGAAUUGGAUACAGUAAAAAUGAUUUGUUAAGUGAACUCUUCAAGUGUCACUGGUGGGCUUUGUUUCAGAAAAAAAACCCUCAUAUCUCAUAUCUAGAAAUGAUGAAUGUUGAAUUUUUAUAUUUAAUCAGAGUACCUCCCAUAUUUGCUUUGGGUGUCUGCUUUCUUUUGAAUGUGUAGUCCACGUAGGCUUACAUAUUACAUUUCCAGCUUCUUAAAAAGAAUUUCCAGCUGUUGGCAUUGCCAUUUAAGUAGCUGAAUUGGGGGUGUUUGUUUCCCCCACUGCAAUCCUACUUGCCACUUUAAAUUAAAUAACAUAUCCAACUUCUCCCACAUUAAAAAGUGUCUGCCAUAAAAGCAACAUAGAAGGAACAUGUUCUUUCCCUGUUGGGACCUUCUGGAGUUUUCCUGUGGUUGCUGCUGGCUAGGGGACAUUCUCAGCCUCCUGAGCGCUUGAGUCAUUGACGCGCUGGGAAGGUCUCAGCACAUGCAGGAUUUCGCUGCUGGUAGGGGUUUUCCUGUAUGUGUUCCUAGCAGGAUGUGUUUCCUUUCAUACAAAUCAUAGAAGUGCAUCUGCUGGAAUCUUUAAACAGAUAGCUUCUCAAUAAACAGGAAAAUGUCAAAAUUGUGGUCAUUUUUUAUGAGGUUGAUGAGGUUGAUGGAAGUAGACAGAAUAGAGAGAAAUGUAAUAACAUUUACUCAGGUGUUUUGAGAGUAUUUUAUUUGGGGUCAUAACAGCACCAUAAACACCUUGUCUAUAUUUUUUCUACCCCACACGUUUCUUGAAUGUCCUGUGAAAUAAAUUUUCUAUGUAUGACAUGAUUAGACAGUACUAUAAGAAGUGUGCUUUUACACUUUACAUUCUAACGGCUCAGGAUUACAACUGACUGUGAAAUGGAAGCUUUAUUCUGAGGAUGGUUUUUAGCAAACUUUAUUCUGAUGCUUAUAAUAUAAGUCCUUAAACCACAGGCCUGAUUUUUUUUUUUUUUUUUUUUUUUUUUUUUUUUUUCUUUCCUUUUCAGGGUUGAACCAUGGCACGUGGAGGUUCCCAGGCUAGGGGUCAAAUCAGACCUGCAGCCUCUGGCCUACACCACCGCCACAGCUCAUGGCAAUGCUGGAUCCUUAAUCCACUGAGUGAGGCCAGGGAUUGAACCUAUGACCUCAUGGAUACUAGUCAGAUUCGUUUCCACUGAGCCACCGGGGAUCUCCUUUUUUUUUUUUUUUUUCUGAUUUUUUUAUAGCUUGUUCUUGGUUAAGAUGUUUACCUAACAAGUAAAGAAAAUUUUAAUCGUUUUUUUGUUUCCUUCAAUGAGCUGUUAAAUAUUGUAGAUAUUGAUAGUCAGCUUUUAGAUUUUCUUUACUUGAGGCUAAAAACAGGAGCAUAAUAUCUACUAAUGAGAAAUUUAUGUGGGAAUGUAAAUGGGUGCAGCCACUAUGGAAAAUAGUGUGGAAGUUCCUCAAAAAAUUAAAAAUAGAACUACCAUAUAAUCCAGCAGUUCCACUUCUGGGUUUUUAUCCAAAGGAUACUAAGUCAGUAUCUUGGAAAGAUAUCUGCACUCCCACGUUCAUUGCAGUAUUAUUUACAAUAGCUAAGGUAAUGGAAACAACCUAAGUGUCCAUGGGCAGAUAAAUGGAUAAGAAAUGUGGUUUGAUGAAAUAUUAUUCAACCGUUAAAAAGAAGGAAAUCCUGCCAUUUGUGACAACAUGGGUGGAUCUUGAGAGCAUUAUGCUAAGUGAAAUGAAUCAGAGAAAGACAAAUACUGUGUUUCACUUACAUGUUGAAUCUUAAAAAUGAAAACCCAAGCUCAUGGAAACAGCAGUAGAUUGAUGAUUUCCAGAGUUGGGGGUAUGUGUGUGUGGGGGGGUGGAUGAAAUGCUUGAAGGGGUCAAAAGGUACAAACUUCCAGUUAAAAGACAAAUAAGUCCUAGGGAAGUAAUGUGCAGCAUAUUGACUAUGAAAAAGAUAAAUAAAAAGUUUAUUGUGGAGUUCUUGCUGUGACACAGUGGGUUAAGAAUCUGACUGCAGUGGCUUGUUCUGGCACCGUGCGUUAAAGGAUCCAGCAUUGCCAUAGCUGCAGUGUAGGUUGCAGCUUGGCUCAGAUUCAGUCCUUGGCCUGGAAACUUCCAUUGGCUGUGGGUGCGGCCAUAUUUAGAUUUUUUUUAAAAAGUUGACUUACUACGAUAGCUGCUGGACAAUCAAGACCUAACUCUUAAACCUCUUGCUUGGCCUUCAAUAACACCUGGAUUCUUGAGCAGAGGAGGCAAGUGUCUGUGUUUCUUUCUUUCGUUCUUUUUUUUUUUUCUUUUUAGGCUGCACCCUCACCAUAUGGAGGUUCCCAGACCAGGGGUCGAAUCAGAACUGCAACUGCCGGCCUACGCCACAGCCACAGCAACGCGGGAUCCAAACCACAUCUAUGACCUAAACCGAAACUCACGGCAACGCCGGAUCCCUGACCCACCGAGUGAGGCCAGGGAUGGAACUGCAUCCUAGUGGAUACUAGUUAGGUUCGUUUCUCCUGAGCCACGAUGGGAGCUACCUAUGUUGCUAAAACAGAGGUUUCAACCGAAUCCCAGAGAGAAAAUUUCACAGUUGGGCCUGAGCUCUCAACCUGCUCUCAGAUUGUCUUUCAAAGACACAUCAGUUUUUAUUAGAAUGAAACAUAUUCUAAAAUAGUCUCAUUCUUACUGGAAAUAUGGAUAGAAUGAUAAGUUGCAUAUUAUAAGUCCUUGGAUAAGGUUUAUAAUUCCCAACAUUUUGUGAACAUUAAAAACCACGUUGCAUUUUUUUUUAUCUAAAGUCAGUUCAUUUAAAAAUACAUAAACAUUUUUUUGAUUUGCUCAAUGAAUGACUUAUUUCUGCAUCAUCUCCCUCCUUAUUACUAUAAAGAUCCUUUAUAAGUGAUAAUUGCAAAGAAAAGGCCCAAUGCGAUUUGAAGAAUUUGUGCAUGAAAGAUCUAAUGAGCAGGCAGCCUGUCCAAAGUUGAACUCUGACAAGGCAUUUAAAGUGGAGUAUAGUCUUUCCUUGGACUUUCUGUCUACACAUUAGUUCAUGAUUUUUUCAUUACUCUUUUUAAUAUAGCUGAAAGUUGGAUUGCUUUAGUUUGGGGGACACUUUAGUUGUGUAAUUUGGGACAAGAUAUUUAAUUAAAGUACUCCUGGAGUUAAGGAUCCAGUGUUGUCACCGCUGUGGCUUGGGUCACUACUGUGGCCAGGGUUUAAUUUCUGGCCAGGGAACUUCUACAUGCCAAGGGCAUGGCCAAAAAGAAAAAACAAAAAAAAACUCCUAAAUUUGAUUAUAGACAAUUUAUAAAUUUAUAGCUGAACAUUUAAAAAAUUGGUGAAGCACUAAUACCAUUUGAUAAUUUUUGAGAAGAAGGGGUUUUUGCUGUUUGAGAUAUUUCUAAUUUGUUCUGAGAUAGUUUUUAUUUUUUCCUUUGAGGUAAUUUAAAAUAGAGUAAAUAAUUACAUACUGAGGUGGGAGAACAUAAAGUUUUGUAAAAGUUCCUUGAUAACUGAUACCAGUUCAUUAAUUUGAAAAUUAUACUUCUGGCUCAUAAAGAGUAGAAAAUUGAUUUGGCUUUUUCCCCUUUGGGUAGGGAAACCUUUAAAAGUGGACUCUUCUUGGAGUUCCCGUCGUGGCACAGUGGUGAACGAAUCCGACUGGGAACCAUGAGGUUGUGGGUUUGAUCCCUGGCCUUGCUCAGUGGGUUAAGGAUCCGACGUUGCCGUGAGCUGUGGUGUAGGUUGCAGACGCAGCUCGGAUCCCACGUUGCUGUGGCUCUGGCAGAGGCUGGCAGCUACAGCUCCAAUUAGACCCCUAGCCUGGGAAACUCCAUAUGCCGCGGGAGCAGCCCAAGAAAUGGCAAAGA